RNAcentral lists this ribosomal RNA (468 nucleotides) under uncultured bacterium. RNAcentral's name for it is "partial 16S ribosomal RNA". It matches the Rfam family "Bacterial small subunit ribosomal RNA", at positions 28 to 507 of the family's 1533-position model. The record is from RNAcentral.
GACGAACGCUGGCGGCGUGCUUAACACAUGCAAGUCGAACGGAAAGGCCCUGCUUUUGUGGGGUGCUCGAGUGGCGAACGGGUGAGUAACACGUGAGUAACCUGCCCUUGACUUUGGGAUAACUUCAGGAAACUGGGGCUAAUACCGGAUAGGAGCUCCUGCUGCAUGGUGGGGGUUGGAAAGUUUCGGCGGUUGGGGAUGGACUCGCGGCUUAUCAGCUUGUUGGUGGGGUAGUGGCUUACCAAGGCUUUGGCGGGUAGCCGGCCUGGGAGGGUGACCGGCCACAUUGGGACUGAGAGACGGCCCAGACUCCUACGGGAGACAGCAGUGGGGAAUAUUGCACAAUGGGCGGAAGCCUGAUGCAGCAACGCCGCGUGCGGGAUGACGGCCUUCGGGUUGUAAACCGCUUUCGCCUGUGACGAAGCGUGAGUGACGGUAAUGGGUAAAGAAGCACCGGCUAACUACGUG